This 480-nucleotide ribosomal RNA is filed under the name uncultured bacterium. RNAcentral's name for it is "partial 16S ribosomal RNA". It matches the Rfam family "Bacterial small subunit ribosomal RNA", at positions 28 to 523 of the family's 1533-position model. The record is from RNAcentral.
GACGAACGCUGGCGGCGUGCUUAACACAUGCAAGUCGAGCGAGAGAAAUUCCUUCGGGAAGGACUCUAGCGGCGGACGGGUGAGCAACACGUGGGUAACCUGCCUCAUAGAGGGGAAUAGCCUUUCGAAAGGAAGAUUAAUACCGCAUAAGAUUGUAGUAUCGCAUGAUGCAGCAAUUAAAGGAGUGACCCGCUAUGAGAUGGACCCGCGUCGCAUUAGCUAGUUGGUGAGGUAACGGCUCACCAAGGCGACGAUGCGUAGCCGACCUGAGAGGGUGAUCGGCCACAUUGGGACUGAGACACGGCCCAGACUCCUACGGGAGGCAGCAGUGGGGAAUAUUGCACAAUGGGGGAAACCCUGAUGCAGCAACGCCGCGUGAGUGAUGACGGUCUUCGGAUUGUAAAACUCUGUCUUCAGGGACGAUAAUGACGGUACCUGAGGAGGAAGCCACGGCUAACUACGUGCCAGCAGCCGCCGUAA